AAGACCUUUACCCGACUUAGCUGAGAGGUGGUGCAUGGCGUCGUCAGUUCGUACUGUGAAGCAUCCUGUUAAGUCAGGCAACGAGCGAGACCCACGUCCACAGUUGCCAGCAUACCCUCCGGGGUGGAUGGGUACACUGUGGAGACCGCCGCUGCUAAAGCGGAGGAAGGAGUGGGCAACGGUAGGUCAGUAUGCCCCGAAUCUCCCGGGCUACACGCGGGCUACAAUGGUUGGUACAAUGGGCAUCUACCCCGAAAGGGGAAGGAAAUCUCUUAAAGCCAAUCGUAGUUCGGAUUGAGGGCUGCAACUCGCCCUCAUGAAGCUGGAAUCCGUAGUAAUCGCGUUUCAACAGAACGCGGUGAAUACGUCCCUGCUCCUU
Molecule: ribosomal RNA, 379 nt
Filed under: uncultured Methanosaeta sp.
Lineage: Archaea; Methanobacteriati; Methanobacteriota; Methanomicrobia; Methanotrichales; Methanotrichaceae
Description: bacterial SSU rRNA
Rfam family: Archaeal small subunit ribosomal RNA
Source: RNAcentral